AACGAUACUAGCUUGCUAGUAGGCGUCGAGUGGCGGACGGGUGAGUAACGCGUAGGAAUCUGCCUGAUAGUGGGGGAUAGCCCGGAGAAAUUCGGAUUAAUACCGCAUAAUCUAUUCGUAGUAAAGUGGGGGACUUUCGAGCCUCACGCUAUCAGAUGAGCCUGCGUAAGAUUAGCUUGUUGGUAGGGUAAAAGCCUACCAAGGCGACGAUCUUUAGCUGGUCUGAGAGGAUGAUCAGCCACAUCGGGACUGAGACACGGCCCGAACUCCUACGGGAGGCAGCAGUGGGGAAUAUUGGACAAUGGGGGCAACCCUGAUCCAGCAAUACCGCGUGUGUGAAGAAGGCCUGAGGGUUGUAAAGCACUUUCAAUUGUAAGAAAAGUUAACGGUUAAUAACCGUUAGCCUUGACGUU
RNAcentral lists this ribosomal RNA (413 nucleotides) under uncultured bacterium. Its description in RNAcentral is "bacterial SSU rRNA". It matches the Rfam family "Bacterial small subunit ribosomal RNA", at positions 65 to 476 of the family's 1533-position model. The record is from RNAcentral.